RNAcentral lists this ribosomal RNA (801 nucleotides) under uncultured bacterium. RNAcentral describes it as "bacterial SSU rRNA". It matches the Rfam family "Bacterial small subunit ribosomal RNA", at positions 28 to 805 of the family's 1533-position model. The record is from RNAcentral.
GACGAACGCUGGCGGCGUGCCUAACACAUGCAAGUCGAACGGAGAAUUUUAUUUCGGUAGAAUUCUUAGUGGCGAACGGGUGAGUAACGCGUAGGCAACCUACCCUUUAGACGGGGACAACAUUCCGAAAGGAGUGCUAAUACCGGAUGUGAUCAUCGUGCCGCAUGGCAGGAUGAAGAAAGAUGGCCUCUACAAGUAAGCUAUCGCUAAAGGAUGGGCCUGCGUCUGAUUAGCUAGUUGGUAGUGUAACGGACUACCAAGGCGAUGAUCAGUAGCCGGUCUGAGAGGAUGAACGGCCACAUUGGGACUGAGACACGGCCCAAACUCCUACGGGAGGCAGCAGUGGGGAAUCUUCCGCAAUGGACGAAAGUCUGACGGAGCAACGCCGCGUGAGUGAUGAAGGAUUUCGGUCUGUAAAGCUCUGUUGUUUAUGACGAACGUGCAGUGUGUGAACAAUGCAUUGCAAUGACGGUAGUAAACGAGGAAGCCACGGCUAACUACGUGCCAGCAGCCGCGGUAAUACGUAGGUGGCGAGCGUUGUCCGGAAUUAUUGGGCGUAAAGAGCAUGUAGGCGGCUUAAUAAGUCGAGCGUGAAAAUGCGGGGCUCAACCCCGUAUGGCGCUGGAAACUGUUAGGCUUGAGUGCAGGAGAGGAAAGGGGAAUUCCCAGUGUAGCGGUGAAAUGCGUAGAUAUUGGGAGGAACACCAGUGGCCCAGGCGCCUUUCUGGACUGUGUCUGACGCUGAGAUGCGAAAGCCAGGGUAGCGAACGAGAUUAGAUACCCCGGUAGUCCUGGCCGUAA